UUCAUUUCCACUUCAUUCUGGAGUGGAAAGAAGUCAGGAAAAACAAUCAAAAUAUUGACAAAUGGCAGAGGAAGGACCACCAGUUACAGGCUGCCUUUAAAUCUUGACUGCAAAUUUGCCGCAAAGAAGUAGAGGCACUGUGAUAUGAAGAAUGUAGUAAAUGGGAUGCUCUGAAAAGUUGAUUCAUUUUGAACACCAAGCUAAGGAUAUGGUGAAUUUGGUACUGUGAUGGAUCAUGAAGAGAGAGCCUCCUCCUUGAAUUGAGUUCAUCUUGAUAUAUUUUGGUGACAGAAUGUGGUGGAAGUGAUGCCAUGUAAUGAUACCUCUUG
Dama dama (fallow deer) is the source of this 329-nucleotide long non-coding RNA. RefSeq lists it as uncharacterized. The record is from RefSeq and is a predicted model, not a curated record. The transcript has 3 exons. Lineage: Eukaryota; Metazoa; Chordata; Mammalia; Artiodactyla; Cervidae.